AUUGAACGCUGGCGGCAUGCCAUACACAUGCAAGUCGAACGGCAGCACGGGUGCUUGCACCUGGUGGCGAGUGGCGAACGGGUGAGUAAUAUAUCGGAACGUACCUUAUUGUGGGGGGUAACGCAGCGAAAGCUGUGCUAAUACCGCAUAAUCCCUAAGGGGGCAAGCGGGGGACCGUAAGGCCUCGCGCAAUUAGAGCGGCCGCGACCUGAUUAGCUAGUCGGUGAGGUAAAGGCUCACCAAGGCAACGAUCAGUGCGUGGUCUGAGAGGACGAUCAGCCACACUGGGGCUGAGACACGGCCCAGACUCCUACGGGAGGCAGCAGUGGGGAAUUUUGGACAAUGGGGGCAACCCUGAUCCAGCAAUGCCGCGUGAGUGAAGAAGGCCUUCGGGUUGUAAAGCUCUUUUGUCAGGGAAGAAACAGCAGCUCUAACACAGUUUGCGAAUGACGGUACCUGAAGAAUAAGCACCGGCUAACUACGUGCCAGCAGCCGCCGUAA
Molecule: ribosomal RNA, 501 nt
Filed under: uncultured bacterium
Lineage: Bacteria
Description: partial 16S ribosomal RNA
Rfam family: Bacterial small subunit ribosomal RNA
Source: RNAcentral